UACGUAGGGGGCUAGCGUUGUCCGGAUUUAUUGGGCGUAAAGAGCUCGUAGGUGGUUCGGUAAGUCGGAUGUGAAAUCCCCAGGCUCAACCUGGGAACUGCGUCUGAUACUGGAUGGCUUGAAUCCGGGAGAGGGAUGCAGAAUUCCAGGUGUAGCGGUGAAAUGCGUAGAUAUCUGGAGGAAUACCGGUGGCGAAGGCGGCAUCCUGGACCGGCAUUGACGCUGAGGAGCGAAAGCCAGGGGAGCAAACGGG
This 253-nucleotide ribosomal RNA is filed under the name uncultured bacterium. RNAcentral's name for it is "partial 16S ribosomal RNA". It matches the Rfam family "Bacterial small subunit ribosomal RNA", at positions 524 to 776 of the family's 1533-position model. The record is from RNAcentral.